GACGAACGCUGGCGGCGUGCUUAACACAUGCAAGUCGAACGGAAAGGCCCUGCUUGUGUGGGGUGCUCGAGUGGCGAACGGGUGAGUAACACGUGAGUAACCUGCCCUUGACUUUGGGAUAACUUCAGGAAACUGGGGCUAAUACCGGAUAGGAGCUCCUGCUGCAUGGUGGGGGUUGGAAAGUUUCGGUGGUUGGGGAUGGACUCGCGGCUUAUCAGCUUGUUGGUGGGGUAGUGGCUUACCAAGGCUUUGACGGGUAGCCGGCCUGAGAGGGUGACCGGCCACAUUGGGACUGAGAUACGGCCCAGACUCCUACGGGAGGCAGCAGUGGGGAAUAUUGCACAAUGGGCGGAAGCCUGAUGCAGCAACGCCGCGUGCGGGAUGACGGCCUUCGGGUUGUAAAACGCUUUCGCCUGUGACGAAGCGUGAGUGACGGUAAUGGGUAAAGAAGCACCGGCUAACUACGUG
RNAcentral lists this ribosomal RNA (468 nucleotides) under uncultured bacterium. RNAcentral describes it as "partial 16S ribosomal RNA". It matches the Rfam family "Bacterial small subunit ribosomal RNA", at positions 28 to 507 of the family's 1533-position model. The record is from RNAcentral.